Cebus imitator (Panamanian white-faced capuchin) is the source of this 108-nucleotide small nuclear RNA. NCBI's taxonomy places the organism in Eukaryota, Metazoa, Chordata, Mammalia, Primates, Cebidae. The record is from Ensembl.
GUGCUCACUUCGGCAGCACAUAUACUAAAAUUGGAAUGAAACAGAGGAGAUCAGCAGGGCCCCAUGUCCAAUGAUGACAUGGGAAUGUGUGAAGCAUUUCAUAUUUUU